GAUGAACGCUGGCGGCGUGCCUAAUACAUGCAAGUCGAGCGAACAGAUGAGGAGCUUGCUCCUCUGACGUUAGCGGCGGACGGGUGAGUAACACGUGGAUAACCUACCUAUAAGACUGGGAUAACUUCGGGAAACCGGAGCUAAUACCGGAUAAUAUAUUGAACCGCAUGGUUCAAUAGUGAAAGACGGUUUUGCUGUCACUUAUAGAUGGAUCCGCGCCGCAUUAGCUAGUUGGUAAGGUAACGGCUUACCAAGGCAACGAUGCGUAGCCGACCUGAGAGGGUGAUCGGCCACACUGGAACUGAGCCACGGCCCAGACUCCUACGGGAGGAAGCAGUAGGGAAUCUUCCGCAAUGGGCGAAAGCCUGACGGAGCAACGCCGCGUGAGUGAUGAAGGUCUUCGGAUCGUAAAACUCUGUUAUUAGGGAAGAACAAAUGUGUAAGUAACUAUGCACGUCUUGACGGUACCUAAUCAGAAAGCCACGGCUAACUACGUG
Molecule: ribosomal RNA, 497 nt
Filed under: uncultured bacterium
Lineage: Bacteria
Description: partial 16S ribosomal RNA
Rfam family: Bacterial small subunit ribosomal RNA
Source: RNAcentral